UACAGAGGGGGCAAGCGUUGUUCGGAAUUACUGGGCGUAAAGGGCGCGUAGGCGGCCUUCUAAGUCGAACGUGAAAUCCCUGGGCUCAACCCAGGAACUGCGUCCGAUACUGGGAGGCUUGAAUCCGGGAGAGGGAUGCGGAAUUCCAGGUGUAGCGGUGAAAUGCGUAGAUAUCAAGAGGAACACCAGUGGCGAAGGCGAGUCCCUGGACAAUUCCUGACACUGAGGCACGAAAGCCGGGGGAGCAAACAGG
Molecule: ribosomal RNA, 253 nt
Filed under: uncultured prokaryote
Description: partial 16S ribosomal RNA
Rfam family: Bacterial small subunit ribosomal RNA
Source: RNAcentral